AUGGCAUCCCGUUCGCCGCGCGUUCUGCCCUUCUCCAAGAAUGGAUCUACGCCGACGACCCCAUACUGCCCAAGAUCUUGGCACACGACAGAGUUACCGUGUGGUGUGACCGGGGCUUCUUCCACUAUGACCCCUCCUGCCCUGCCUCUUCGGUGGCCCCGAUUCUUCUUCCACUCUGGGAUAGCUCGUGGAUAUGGUACAUCAUCAUCACCUAUGAAGAGGAGAAGGGGUUUAUCGUGUCAGGAAAGGUGUGUGGUGGUAGGCUUGGUCUCCGGCCUCGGCAACUUUCGUUGGCCCCGGUGCCGUGCGGCUGAGGCGAUGUUGUUUGGCAUCAGCUACAAAAUAGCCAUGGUGAGCUCCUCUCCAUCGUCUGCUAAUUCAUGUAAUCACAUGAUGUUCAAGAUUCUCUUAUGUAUGGUUUUAGACAUUUAG
Molecule: ribosomal RNA, 432 nt
Filed under: Triticum aestivum (bread wheat)
Lineage: Eukaryota; Viridiplantae; Streptophyta; Magnoliopsida; Poales; Poaceae
Description: partial small subunit ribosomal RNA
Source: RNAcentral